RNAcentral lists this ribosomal RNA (300 nucleotides) under Triticum aestivum (bread wheat). Its description in RNAcentral is "partial small subunit ribosomal RNA". Lineage: Eukaryota; Viridiplantae; Streptophyta; Magnoliopsida; Poales; Poaceae. The record is from RNAcentral.
AUGAAGGCUCCACAUCUUCCCUUUUCAUGCAAAUUCAAUGAUAAUAAAACCUUAGCUUCUUAUGCUAAUGGUGUAUAUGAUGACUAUGAUGUGGAACAAAUAGAAGAAUUUGUUGCUUUUAUGGGUGCUUAUGAGAUUGAAUCUAUGUUUAAAGAGUUUGAUGAUUUUGAUGAUUCAGUUUAUAGACCUGAAAAUUUUGCUAUACUUAAAUAUUGUUAUAAAAAUUAUGAAUACAAUUACAAUAUUGAUGCAUUUAUUGAGAAAGUCUCUGCUGUCCAAGAAGAGACUAAUACUUUGUAG